ACAGGUCCCUACCACCGGGCAGAUACACAGCCACCUACACUUGUGUUACCUUGUGGCUGGCGUGGAGGUCUUCUUUUGGCAGGAUCACUUGUGUCUUGACCUAUGCAGGAUCUUGCAAGCACAGCACGAGGAUAAUGGUCGUUAAGCACUGUGACGUCACCAAUAACGCUGUGUUGGGCAAGAAGGUCAGGAGCGGCCGGCGCCGCCUCAGUGUCGGGCUGACAGCCAGCAGACGUAGUUCCUUGGGAGGUGUCCCGCUUCUUACAUCAUUUGCAGCUACACCGGUCAUCAGGGUCUGGCGCGACAAUCGCCACGAGUCUUCUUGAGAAACUUAGUGAACGGAGGACUAGUCAGGCGCACAAGGCACGGAACUAGUUUUGACGUGACGUAGUUGCAAGUCUCGAUAGAGGUGGUUGGACCGUGUUGAACACGGCGCCUGACAAAGUUGCAGGAAUAUCUGAAAGAAA
Procambarus clarkii (red swamp crayfish) is the source of this 467-nucleotide RNA transcript. RefSeq lists it as uncharacterized. Lineage: Eukaryota; Metazoa; Arthropoda; Malacostraca; Decapoda; Cambaridae. The record is from RefSeq and is a predicted model, not a curated record.